AUUUCAGAUUCCCUCUGCUAUUUUUUGGGGUCAAAACUUAAAACUUUUUCAUCCCUCUCUCUUUUCUCGUGCGGUACCCACACUGCUCCCUCACAAAUUUCACGCUCCCUAAAAAAAUUUCAGACAUUCCCCCAACAAUUUCAGUUUCCCUGACGACCCUACACGCCCUCAAUUGCAAUCGAACUCCGAACUCUAUCGUCUCUCUCUCCUGUCUCCUCCAUUUGGUAUGUUCUCAGUCGCUUUUCUUCCCCAUCUCCUCUUGUUUUCUAUCUUCACUGCUCUCUCCAUCUCCAAUCCCUCCUCUCACAACUCUGGGUAUCAUGGGGCUCUCUCUCUCUUUCUGACAACUCUCUCUCAGAUUCUACCAUAGUAACGUUAGGGUUUCAGUUUUCAAAAAAUUUCAUUUGUAUUAAUCCAAAACUCUUCAUCUCCUUCUCCUUAGUUCAACACAUUUUCUCCUCCCAGAUCUCGCCCAAUGGCAGUCAGGAAGUUGGGGAAAAAACUAAAGUUGAAAGAAAGUUGGAACUUUGUUCCUUACACCUGUGCUGUAUUUGUCAGAUUUGGUGGUGAUUUCUGUGUCUUGGAACUUUCUAUUUGUUGCUGAUUUUUGUGUUGGGGGUUUUAGUUUUUGCUAUUUUGGCUUUUUUUUUUUUUUUCUCCUUUAAAGGGCUUAAACUCUGAUGAUCUGCCAAAAGAACAAAAAUUUAUCUUUGUUGCUGAUUUUUUUUUUUUUUUUUUGGGCUUUCAGUUUUGGCUUUUAUUUUUUAUUUUAUAUAUUUUUUUAUCCUUUUCUGCAAAGGGCUUAAACUCUGAUUAUUUGCCAAAUGAACAUAAAAAAGGGGAUUGGUUAUGCAGCAUAGUCCAAGGGGAUUGGUUAUGCAGCAUAUUCCAAGGGAUUUGGUUUCUCAAUUUAGUUUAUAAUUAUCAAAUUGUACGUCAUGCGUUCUUUAUACAUCACUGUUACUAAUCAUAGUACAUACUCUGUAGAUCGAAUGCUUUCCAAAAAAAGAAAAAGAAGUUUUACAUGUAGAGGAGAACGUCAGAUAUCAUGGCUCUAAUUUAUGGCUUCCAGUUGUGGUAGUAUGCAAGGGAGGCCAAAGAGGAAAUCGUUUUGAUGAACUCAACUAAUUGAGGCGAUUUUUGGUUUUUCAAUUUCUAUUUGGAGAGCAUAUGCAGAUAAGGCUCUCUAGUCAUAAAUUUCAAGUUGAUGUGAUUCAAUAGCUCUGUACUUAAAGAGAAUCUUGAAGGACAUGUUAGAAGAUGCCCAUUACUCAAACAAGUGCAGUCUUUGACUUUCCAACCCUUUUACCAAAAGAGUAUCAAUGCUGGCAAAGAAGAGGACCAGUAAGAAUUAGAAACAUUCAGACCCAAAGGAGCUGAUGAUUUGGAAUCAUCUAAUGACCCCGAAUCAGGAUCUUUGGAUAACAUUCUUUCAGAAAUGAAGAGGAAUGUUGUUUAUAGUAACAAAUUGGUUUCUAUAAAUUAAUUGAGAAAAUUGAGCAUGUUCAUGAAUCUGUAUGCAAGGAUAUUCAGGACUCAUAUAAGGUAUUGGAAGCUUGUGGGAUAUGGAUUAAACGAGAGGUUGACAGGUAUAUAUGCGCUGGAAUGUUCGUUUCAUUCUUGAUGUGGUGCUACACGUAGAGCUCGCUCUCACGAGUUCGUAGACACGUAGUGGGCCCAUAAUAAUGUAAUUUUAAAAAUGUAAUUUUAAUAAGAUUUUUUUUA
Long non-coding RNA from Prunus dulcis (almond), 1725 nucleotides. RefSeq lists it as uncharacterized. The transcript is spliced from 5 exons. NCBI's taxonomy places the organism in Eukaryota, Viridiplantae, Streptophyta, Magnoliopsida, Rosales, Rosaceae. The record is from RefSeq and is a predicted model, not a curated record.